UUUUCAAAAUAUCUUUAUAUUCGCAUCAAAAUAUUUCUUCUUUUGGUAAAAAAGAAAAAGAAAAAAAAGAGAGAGAUAAAAGGACAACUUUAGUCCCGACAGUCUUUUCAUUACCGUGAAAGAUACAUACGUGAGACUCAAAUCCAGAUUCGAUUCCCCCUCCAGAAUUUCCCAAAUUGAUCAAAAAGCUUCUUUCUCCGCCAAAUUCGUACGCUGUCAGAAAAACCUCAAACAACAUGGAACCGGAAAUCCAAGAGAGAAUCGAAAAGACAGUGGUGAGGAUUCUACAGGAGUCUGACAUGGAGGAGACCACGGAGCACAAGAUCCGGAAGCAGGCCGCCGCGGAGCUCCAACUCGACCUCUCCGACCCGCCUUACAAGGCCUUCGUCAAGCAGGUCGUACAGUCCUUCCUCGAACAACAACAACAACAACAACAACAAGAGGAAGAAGAGCAAGCAGAAGAAGAGGAAGAACGAGGAGACCCUCGUAAGGAGUACGAUGAUGAUGGCGACCUCAUCAUUUGCAGACUGUCAGACAAGAGAAAGGUGACAAUUCAAGAAUUCAGGGGGAAGACUCUGGUGUCGAUAAGGGAGUACUAUAAGAAAGAUGGGAAAGAUCUUCCUACUUCUAAAGGUAUAAGCAUGACCGAGGAGCAAUGGUCAACCUUCAAGAAGAACAUGCCUGCUAUAGAGAAAGCCAUUACAAAGAUGGAAUCACGGCUUAUGUGAUAAUUUGAACCUAGUUUCCUUAGUGGUUGUAAUAAAAAUGAUUUGACUUAUCGGUUUCCUGAUGGCAGAUCAUUUUGUUUAGAGCUUUAACUGCUGUUUCAAAUUGGUGCCAGAGUGCCUCAACUCUUUUAUGGCCAGUGUGGACCAGCUGAAUUACAUGCACCAAAUGAAUUUUAGCUAGCCUCUAGCUAAUCUGUACCUCUGCCAAAUCGGGGGUGUCUGCUUCUUGUCCCAGCUGGAAUGGACAAUUAAAAUAAUGUUCUUGAAUUUCGGAUUUGUAUAUUUCAUCUUUUCUAAUCAGCAGAAAUCCACUA
Molecule: non-coding RNA, 1042 nt
Organism: Corylus avellana
Lineage: Eukaryota; Viridiplantae; Streptophyta; Magnoliopsida; Fagales; Betulaceae
Source: RefSeq, a predicted model, not a curated record